This is a long non-coding RNA of Bufo bufo (common toad), 175 nucleotides long. RefSeq lists it as uncharacterized. NCBI's taxonomy places the organism in Eukaryota, Metazoa, Chordata, Amphibia, Anura, Bufonidae. The transcript has 3 exons. The record is from RefSeq and is a predicted model, not a curated record.
UCUGGUAUCCAAAUAAACUUUUAACAAGCUCUGCCUCUGAUGCCACCAGAUGUAAGGCAGCUAUCAUAUAAUUAAGUGUUCCACCCUUUAAAUAGGCUUUGACUCAUGACUCAGAUAUUAAAUAAGCCAGCAUUUCAUCUAUAGACAGCUGUUUCGGGGUGAUUGCCCCUCAUCA